RNAcentral lists this transfer RNA (69 nucleotides) under Sinodendron rugosum. RNAcentral describes it as "tRNA-Met". It matches the Rfam family "tRNA". Rfam says of the family: Transfer RNA (tRNA) molecules are approximately 80 nucleotides in length. Their secondary structure includes four short double-helical elements and three loops (D, anti-codon, and T loops). The record is from RNAcentral. Lineage: Eukaryota; Metazoa; Arthropoda; Insecta; Coleoptera; Lucanidae.
AAAAAGAUAAGCUAAUUAAGCUACUGGGUUCAUACCCCAUUUAUGAGGAUUUUAGUCCCUCUCUUUUUG